This 644-nucleotide unclassified non-coding RNA is filed under the name Hevea brasiliensis (rubber tree). The record is from RNAcentral. Lineage: Eukaryota; Viridiplantae; Streptophyta; Magnoliopsida; Malpighiales; Euphorbiaceae.
AAUACACCCUACAAGCUCUCCAAAAAAAAGGAUGAAAUAAAAUAAUAAUAGCAAUAAUAGAAAUUUCAAAACGAUACUAUAAACCUUUUAGGCCACAAUUGACCGAUAAAUGCUUUCAUAAAUGGCUCAAUAUUGAACAUUUUGGUCUAUCCCUUACAACCAAUAAAAACUGAAGAAGUUUUAUGUAGCCUCUGCUUCAGAGGCUUCCAAGUUCCGAAGGAGCUUCCCUAAGUGCUAUUCAGCUUGAUUGGAAGGGAUCUUUUAUUUUAUUUUAUUUUUUUAAGUUUCAGGUUUUUUUCGUUUAUGCUUUUUGGUUAUUUGAUUUAGGUGGAUACUUAUCCUCCAGGCUGUACUCUCCUCCGUUUUCCAAUAAAUUUUAUUUUGCUAUCCAAAAUUAAGAAUAUGAGAGUAGCAAAAUGAAUGAAACGGAACAUUAUUGCAUUAUUUACAUUAUCUCCUGGAUCAAGAUGUGCUUCUGCAUGUUUUAAUAGCUUGAUAUCAGUGAAUCUUCUACAAAUAUGCAAGUUAGUGCAAAACAUAAUGAAUUAGUUCUGAUAAUUCAACCACCAGUUGAUUUUCUAUGACACACAUGUAAACACAACCAUCUGCCCGUUAUGAUUCCAACAAUGAGGCAAAACUAUAAU